UUUAAGGUCUGACCUGCCCGCUGAAUAGUUGAAUGGCCGCAGUAUUUUGACUGUGCAAAGGUAGCAUAAUCAUUAGUUUUUUAAUUGAAAGCUGGUAUGAAUGGUUUGAUGAAGAAAAGACUGUCUUAAUAUUAAUAAUUAAAAUUUUAUUUUUAAGUUAAAAAGCUUAAAUUUUUUAAAAAGACGAGAAGACCCUAUAGAGUUUAAUUAAUUUUUAUAUAGUAAUUUUUUGGAGUUAAAAAUUUAUUAUUUAUUGAUUAAUUUUAUUGGGGUGAUAAGAAAAUUUGAUAAACUUUUCUUUUAUAAAAAUAUUGAUUUAUAGAUUUUUGAUCCAAUUUUUUUGAUUAUAAGAAAAAAUUACCUUAGGGAUAACAGCGUAAUUUUUUUUGAGAGCUCAAAUCGAAAAGAAAGAUUGCGACCUCGAUGUUGGAUUAAAGUAAAAUUUUGAUGCAGAAGUUAAAAUUUUAAGUCUGUUCGACUUUUAAAACUUUACA
This 494-nucleotide ribosomal RNA is filed under the name Inopeplus sp. UPOL ZL0203. RNAcentral's name for it is "partial 16S ribosomal RNA". It matches the Rfam family "Bacterial large subunit ribosomal RNA", at positions 1844 to 2600 of the family's 2925-position model. Lineage: Eukaryota; Metazoa; Arthropoda; Insecta; Coleoptera; Salpingidae. The record is from RNAcentral.